GACAGAGGGUGCAAACGUUGUUCGGAAUUACUGGGCGUAAAGCGUGUGUAGGCGGUCCGCUAAGUCGGGUGUGAAAGCCCUGGGCUCAACCCAGGAAGUGCACUCGAAACUGGCGGGCUAGAGUAUCGGAGAGGUUGGUGGAAUUCUCGGUGUAGAGGUGAAAUUCGUAGAUAUCGAGAGGAACACCGGUGGCGAAGGCGGCCAACUGGACGAAUACUGACGCUGAGACACGAAGGCGUGGGGAGCAAACAGG
RNAcentral lists this ribosomal RNA (253 nucleotides) under uncultured bacterium. RNAcentral's name for it is "partial 16S ribosomal RNA". It matches the Rfam family "Bacterial small subunit ribosomal RNA", at positions 524 to 776 of the family's 1533-position model. The record is from RNAcentral.